This 253-nucleotide ribosomal RNA is filed under the name uncultured bacterium. RNAcentral's name for it is "partial 16S ribosomal RNA". It matches the Rfam family "Bacterial small subunit ribosomal RNA", at positions 524 to 776 of the family's 1533-position model. The record is from RNAcentral.
UACGGAGGGAGCUAGCGUUGUUCGGAAUUACUGGUCGUAAAGCGCGCGUAGGCGGCUUUGCAAGACAGAUGUGAAAUCCCCGGGCUCAACCUGGGAACUGCAUUUGUGACUGCAUGGCUAGAGUACGGUAGAGGGGGAUGGAAUUCCGCGUGUAGCAGUGAAAUGCGUAGAUAUGCGGAGGAACACCGAUGGCGAAGGCAAUCCCCUGGACCUGUACUGAAGCUCAUGCACGAAAGCGUGGGGAGCAAACAGG